GGGAAGGGUCAGCGGGAGGCCUGAGGGCGCCGGGCGCUGAGGCAGGCGGGCGCGGGGUCCAGCCGAGAGGGUCCCGGCGCCAGGCAACGCGAUUCGCGCGGGGGUGAAGCCGGGGAGGGGGUUGGCCUCUCGUUCUGGGACCUUUCGCUCCCCUGGGACCUGGGGCCGCCGCCCACAGACCAUGCUCCUGGGGCGCCUGACUUCCCAGCUGUUGAGGGCCGUUCCCUGGGCAGGUAGGAAGCCCCGCGGGGGCGGAUGGGAGGAUACACGCCUGAUUAGGAGUGCGGGUCUCAGCAGCUCCGCUGGGGCAGGGCCCGUGGCCACACACUCUUUCCCCUCUAAGCUUCCGAUGCUCACAGAGGGAACCUCAGGGGUUCAGGCCAGGAAUGAGGUGCGGGGGAUCCUCGCUGGGACGAACGUGCUGCUCCCCAACCCGACGGGCUUGUGUGGUCUCGCGAGCGGUGACCGUGGCGUCUGGUUUUCUGCAGGCGGCCGCCCGCCUUGGCCUGUCUCUGGAGUGCUGGGCAGCCGGGUCUGCGGGCCCCUUUACAGCACACCGCCGGCCGGCCCAGGUAGGGCGGCCUCUCUCCCUCGCAAGGGGGCCCAGCUGGAGCUGGAAGAGAUGCUGGUCCCCAGGAAGAUGUCCGUCAGCCCCCUGGAGAGCUGGCUCACGGCCCGCUGUUUUCUGCC
This 690-nucleotide small RNA is filed under the name Pongo abelii (Sumatran orangutan). RNAcentral describes it as "processed transcript". Lineage: Eukaryota; Metazoa; Chordata; Mammalia; Primates; Hominidae. The record is from RNAcentral.